This is a long non-coding RNA of Eurytemora carolleeae, 946 nucleotides long. RefSeq lists it as uncharacterized. The record is from RefSeq and is a predicted model, not a curated record. The transcript has 2 exons. Lineage: Eukaryota; Metazoa; Arthropoda; Copepoda; Calanoida; Temoridae.
AUUUAGGUUUGGCAAGUGUACUUCUACUUUUGCGAAAGUAUCAAUAAUAGAAAGAUGUAACUCCAACAUUCUUCAAUUCAAACAUUUUAAAACCAUCAAGAGAGAAAAAACAAACAAUGGUCACUCAGCAGUUAAAAAUCAAACUUUUUCCAGUUUUGAAUGACUUUGUGAAAGUGCGCGGAACUAACUCAUCAUUGAAGAUACAUCACUCUUCAUUUCGUUCAAAAGAAGUGCCAAUCAGUGCCAUUCCUACCGUCCUCCUCCUUUGAACGCUCUGCCAUCCCUCCCUCCCUCUUACCUUUAACGCUCUGCCACCCCUACCUCCCUCCUCCCUGGGACGCUCUGCCAUCCCUACCUCCCUCGAUCCUCCCUGGGAAGCUCUGCCAGUCCUACCUCCCUUCUCCAUGGGACGCUCUGCCAUCCCUACCUCCCUCCUCCCUGGACGCUCUGCCAUCCCUACCUCCCUCUUCCCUGGACGCUCUACCAUCCCUACCUCCCUCUUCCCUGGACGCUCUGCCAUCCCUACCUCUCUCCUCUUUUCUCUGUAGUAUGCCUGAUCUCUAUAAUCAAACAUUUUAGGUGAUUUGGUAAAAUGUGGACAAAACCUUGAUUUAUUUAAUUUUUUAAAUAGCAGAAUGUUCACAAAGCAAGGAUUUUUCUUUGUUCAUUACUUAGAAUUCUUCCUUUUACAAAAACAGCUUCUCUUUAUUCAUAAUCUCAUAUUUUGAAUAGCAUUUUUAGCGUCGCUACUACUCUAUUGAAUGCGAAACAAAUUAGCGAAAAAAUGAAAGCCAAAAUUCCCUUUUUCUGAAAAAUUAUGAUUGAGGAUUCCUUUACACUGAUAUAUGUCUUACCUCUUGAUAUGUUACAUGUAUGUAACUAAAUGGUUUUUAGAUAAAUGUUGGGUGAUGGAUUUUUAGAUUGAUUUUUGCCCUUUGACUGAAAU